Molecule: long non-coding RNA, 876 nt
Organism: Clupea harengus (Atlantic herring)
Lineage: Eukaryota; Metazoa; Chordata; Actinopteri; Clupeiformes; Clupeidae
Source: Ensembl
AGUACCAUAAUGGCUGUGGUUAACAGAUGUCUGAAGGUCCUCUUCAUUGGAAUAAAUAUAAUACACAUAAUUUUAGCUGGUGUGGUUUAUACACUAGCUGUUCUGCUGGGCUACAACACCCAGGGACAAGAUGUGGGGCUUGUACUGAUAGCAAUGUGGCUACUGGGUUCAGGAGUCUUGGUGGUGGCUAGCCUUGGUAUCCAUGGUGCCAGAAAAGAGAAGAAGUGGCCCCUGAUCUCGUUUAUUACAGUAAAUGCGAUUUGUCUGACGAUAAUGCUAAUGCAUGUUGCACAGUUUGCCAAAGCAAAAAUACUGUUGAGCCAGUUGAUCGACAACGUGCCAAAUGAAGCUUGGAUUCUCGAUGCUGGAUUAACUGUCAGCCUUAGCCUUGCUGCCUUAUGUUUCACCGGGAUUACCCUGGCAGCCAUGAUCAUGGUUCAGCUCCACAGCCGGCAGCCUGCCAUGACAGAUGUUGAGGGUGAACCCCCAAGAUACUCACAGAUGUGCCCAAUGAGCAGCAAGUCAGCGGAGAGCUGGACAUACAGGAUUCUCCCAAAUCACCACACAGCUAAUGACACAAAAUAAAGAAAUACACAUGACUAAGAAUUAGGUCAAAAUGUCUGUGAUGCAUCUGAAAAAUGUCUGCCUCUCUCUGUCAUGCACUCUCUCUCACACACACUCUCUCACAACAAACACACACACAUAAGGGCACAUAUUAAAGAAAUGCACAUGACUAAGAAUUAAGUCAAAAUGUCUGUGAUGUAUCUGAAAAAUCUCUGCCUCUCUCUCUGUCAUGCACUCACUCUCUCUCACACAACAAACACACACACACACACACACACAUAAUGGCACAUAUUAAAGAAAUACAUAUGAAUA